GUGUCAGCAGCCGCGGUAAAACGUAGGAGGCGAGCGUUAUCCGGAGUUACUGGGCGUAAAGCGCGUGUAGGUGGCUGGUUGCGUCUGCUGUGAAAUGUCCCGGCUUAACCGGGAGGAUGCGGCAGAUACGGGCCAGCUCGAGGGUGACAGAGGAGCGUAGAAUUCCGGGUGUAGUGGUGAAAUGCGUAGAGAUCCGGAGGAAUACCAGUGGCGCAAGCGGCGCUCUGGGUCGAGCCUGACACUGAGACGCGAAGGCAUGGGGAGCGAACGGGAUUAGAAACCCGUGUAGUCC
RNAcentral lists this ribosomal RNA (292 nucleotides) under uncultured bacterium. Its description in RNAcentral is "partial 16S ribosomal RNA". It matches the Rfam family "Bacterial small subunit ribosomal RNA", at positions 505 to 796 of the family's 1533-position model. The record is from RNAcentral.